AGUUAUAUGAGCACGUAAGUAGUGGUUAAGGUCCAAUCUUGCUUCCCUCUCAAUCUUUAAUCACGAAAUUGGCCUUAGACAGAAUGAUCACUAUAACAAAUGCUGACUAGAUCAAAAAAGAACAACAAAAUACUCCUUCAAUGUCAAUUAACCAACCCAGCGGCCACUCAAACGUUGUUGUGAGAGGAUAACAAAACAGACCUUGAAUCAGAAAGGACCCGGAUGAAUAAAAAAACCUGCCUGCUGUGAUUUCAUAAUUAUACUACCCACUUAAAAUACACACACCCUAUCAUUCAAGAGAAGGUUAAGGCCACCAAAAAUAAAGAAAGAAAAGAAAAAAAGUGAAAGUCUUCUCUUCAAGGUAACACACAAAUAGCAGACUCGUUUAGUUUCAAAACCUACAGAAUAGUACCCAAACAUUAAAAAGCACAGAAACUAAAACCGUCUUGGAGCAUCUCAGUCAACCAUCUGACAGCUCGGGGGACCGACCCACGUCGGGAGGCAGGUGGGCAGGAGGAGCGCGACCGGGACGCUCCUCGCCGACCCCGGUCCCGGUAGGUUGUGCGGGCGGCCACUGCCUCGCCCGCGACAGCUCUCGCCGGCCAAUUAAGAAUGAAACAAACUCAUAAGAAAAAAAGCUUUUCCGCCCGUUCCCUCAUUGGACGACGGCGAAGGGUCACGGGCUGCCUACACGCACCGUCUCCGAUUCAUGAACAGUGAGAUUCGAGGCUGAAACCGACCUACUAAAUUGGAGUCCUACAUGCUGCAACAUCGCCUUGCUAGUCUGGUCAUGGGUGGAGCCCUGGGAUGCAUGUUGGAUAUAGAGGCACUGGGCAUGCAAGGAAGAAGACAGAGUAUAAAGAAGUCUACUGAAGCAGGGU
Molecule: long non-coding RNA, 881 nt
Organism: Balaenoptera musculus (blue whale)
Lineage: Eukaryota; Metazoa; Chordata; Mammalia; Artiodactyla; Balaenopteridae
Exons: 3
Source: RefSeq, a predicted model, not a curated record